RNAcentral lists this ribosomal RNA (497 nucleotides) under uncultured bacterium. RNAcentral's name for it is "partial 16S ribosomal RNA". It matches the Rfam family "Bacterial small subunit ribosomal RNA", at positions 28 to 507 of the family's 1533-position model. The record is from RNAcentral.
GAUGAACGCUGGCGGCGUGCCUAAUACAUGCAAGUCGAGCGAACAGACGAGGAGCUUGCUCCUCUGACGUUAGCGGCGGACGGGUGAGUAGCACGUGGAUAACCUACCUAUAAGACUGGGAUAACUUCGGGAAACCGGAGCUAAUACCGGAUAAUAUAUUGAACCGCAUGGUUCAAUAGUGAAAGACGGCUUUGCUGUCACUUAUAGAUGGAUCCGCGCCGCAUUAGCUAGUUGGUAAGGUAACGGCUUACCAAGGCAACGAUGCGUAGCCGACCUGAGAGGGUGAUCGGCCACACUGGAACUGAGACACGGUCCAGACUCCUACGGGAGGCAGCAGUAGGGAAUCUUCCGCAAUGGGCGAAAGCCUGACGGAGCAACGCCGCGUGAGUGAUGAAGGUCUUCGGAUCGUAAAACUCUGUUAUUAGGGAAGAACAAAUGUGUAAGUAACUAUGCACGUCUUGACGGUACCUAAUCAGAAAGCCACGGCUAACUACGUG